GACGAACGCUGGCGGCGUGCUUAACACAUGCAAGUCGAACGGAAAGGCCCUGCUUUUGUGGGGUGCUCGAGUGGCGAACGGGUGAGUAACACGUGAGUAACCUGCCCUUGACUUUGGGAUAACUUCAGGAAACUGGGGCUAAUACCGGAUAGGAGCUCCUGCUGCAUGGUGGGGGUUGGAAAGUUUCGGCGGUUGGGGAUGGACUCGCGGCUUAUCAGCUUGUUGGUGGGGUAGUGGCUUAGCAAGGCUUUGACGGGUAGCAGGCCUGAGAGGGUGACCGGCCACAUUGGGACUGAGAUACGGCACAGACUACUACGGGAGGCAGCAGUGGAGAAUAUUGCACAAUGGGCUGAAGCCUGAUGCAGCAACGCCGCGUGCGGUAUGACGGCCUUCGGUUUGUAAACCGCUUUCGCCUGUGACGAAGCGUUAGUGACGGUAAUGGGUAAAGAAGCACCGGCUAACUACGUG
This 468-nucleotide ribosomal RNA is filed under the name uncultured bacterium. RNAcentral describes it as "partial 16S ribosomal RNA". It matches the Rfam family "Bacterial small subunit ribosomal RNA", at positions 28 to 507 of the family's 1533-position model. The record is from RNAcentral.